ACACCAGCAGACCCAUGGUACGCUUGUUAUAGUCGUUCGCCAGACCCGUAAGGUUGCUCAGAUGGAUAAGAAUGACACUGCGGGCGUUAAAGAGUGUGGUUGGGAUAGGUUUGGGCGGUUCGAUACAGGUUAUGCAAUGGGCCUUCCAGUGCGGCUGCCGGAUUGCAGGGAUCCCUUGUGUCCACGGCCGCCAUCCUCGUGCAAGCAUUCCGCACCCGCCGACAACUCACGCUGUGGGUCAGUUGCAUGCAGGGCCAGAGCGGUGACGAGGACGAUACAGGGUAGGGAGAGGGAUUGAUGUGUACGGGGCGCGGGGGGCGGGGAGCAUGGUGUCAGCAAAUGCUUUAAGCGCGAAUCGCGCCAGGCUACACAGCGCUGAAGGGACAGGCGACAGGGCCGUCUGCGGAAGUCAGACUCACGGCAGGUCAGCAGCCACUCCGCGUAACGAAGCCACACGGUCUUGUUGCCGUUGGAUGAGUAGAUCACCGCAGGUUCGUCAAACUCCUGUGGGCGUGAACCGCGCCAGGAGUAGAUUGCCAGGACAGGGUCAGCCACGAUGCCCGGCACAGCAGGGUUGGUGUCUAUCGCAGAACCCAACAUGUUGUGUAGCUCCCACGGCACGGUCGAUCACACCUAAGAUGACGGCUUUGCAACACCCCUGCCCUGGCUGGUACUCGGCUG
This 681-nucleotide long non-coding RNA is filed under the name Chlamydomonas reinhardtii. RNAcentral's name for it is "long non-coding RNA (CREI_LNC001126)". The record is from RNAcentral. Lineage: Eukaryota; Viridiplantae; Chlorophyta; Chlorophyceae; Chlamydomonadales; Chlamydomonadaceae.